This 506-nucleotide ribosomal RNA is filed under the name uncultured bacterium. Its description in RNAcentral is "partial 16S ribosomal RNA". It matches the Rfam family "Bacterial small subunit ribosomal RNA", at positions 29 to 523 of the family's 1533-position model. The record is from RNAcentral.
AGUGAACGCUGGCGGUAGGCCUAACACAUGCAAGUCGAACGGCAGCACGGGAGAGCUUGCUCUCUGGGUGGCGAGUGGCGGACGGGUGAGGAAUACAUCGGAAUCUACUCUGUCGUGGGGGAUAACGUAGGGAAACUUACGCUAAUACCGCAUACGACCUACGGGUGAAAGCAGGGGACCUUCGGGCCUUGCGCGAUUGAAUGAGCCGAUGUCGGAUUAGCUAGUUGGCGGGGUAAAGGCCCACCAAGGCGACGAUCCGUAGCUGGUCUGAGAGGAUGGUCAGCCACACUGGAACUGAGACACGGUCCAGACUCCUACGGGAGGCAGCAGUGGGGAAUAUUGGACAAUGGGCGCAAGCCUGAUCCAGCCAUACCGCGUGGGUGAAGAAGGCCUUCGGGUUGUAAAGCCCUUUUGUUGGGAAAGAAAUCCAGCUGGCUAAUACCCGGUUGGGAUGACGGUACCCAAAGAAUAAGCACCGGCUAGCUUCGUGCCAGCCGCCACGGUAA